UACAGAGGGUGCAAGCGUUAAUCGGAAUUACUGGGCGUAAAGCGCGCGUAGGUGGUUUGUUAAGUUGGAUGUGAAAGCCCCGGGCUCAACCUGGGAACUGCAUUCAAAACUGACAAGCUAGAGUAUGGUAGAGGGUGGUGGAAUUUCCCGUGUAGCGGUGAAAUGCGUAGAUAUAGGAAGGAACACCAGUGGCGAAGGCGACCACCUGGACUGAUACUGACACUGAGGUGCGAAAGCGUGGGGAGCAAACAGG
Molecule: ribosomal RNA, 253 nt
Filed under: uncultured bacterium
Lineage: Bacteria
Description: partial 16S ribosomal RNA
Rfam family: Bacterial small subunit ribosomal RNA
Source: RNAcentral